UGCAGUCGAGCGGAAGGCCCUUCGGGGUACUCGAGCGGCGAACGGGUGAGUAACACGUGAGUAACCUGCCCCUGACUCUGGGAUAAGCCCGGGAAACUGGGUCUAAUACCGGAUAUGACCACUCCAGGCAUCUGGUGGUGGUGGAAAGUCUUUUCGGUUGGGGAUGGACUCGCGGCCUAUCAGCUUGUUGGUGGGGUAGUGGCCUACCAAGGCGACGACGGGUAGCCGGCCUGAGAGGGCGACCGGCCACACUGGGACUGAGACACGGCCCAGACUCCUACGGGAGGCAGCAGUGGGGAAUCUUGCGCAAUGGGCGAAAGCCUGACGCAGCGACGCCGCGUGGGGGAUGACGGCCUUCGGGUUGUAAACCUCUUUCAGCAGGGACGAAGUUGACGUGUACCUGCAGAAGAAGCGCCGGCUAACUACGUGCCAGCAGCCGCGGUAAUACGUAGGGCGCAAGCGUUGUCCGGAAUUAUUGGGCGUAAAGAGCUCGUAGGUGGCUGGUCGCGUCUGCCGUGAAAGCCCGCAGCUUAACUGCGGGUCUGCGGUGGAUACGGGCCGGCUAGAGGUAGGUAGGGGCAAGUGGAAUUCCUGGUGUAGCGGUGAAAUGCGCAGAUAUCAGGAGGAACACCGGUGGCGAAGGCGGCUUGCUGGGCCUUACCUGACGCUGAGGA
Molecule: ribosomal RNA, 674 nt
Filed under: Nonomuraea indica
Lineage: Bacteria; Bacillati; Actinomycetota; Actinomycetes; Streptosporangiales; Streptosporangiaceae
Description: bacterial SSU rRNA
Rfam family: Bacterial small subunit ribosomal RNA
Source: RNAcentral